This 491-nucleotide long non-coding RNA is filed under the name Struthio camelus australis. RNAcentral's name for it is "lncRNA (ENSSCUG00000010669.1)". Lineage: Eukaryota; Metazoa; Chordata; Aves; Struthioniformes; Struthionidae. The record is from RNAcentral.
UGCCACUCCUGCAGUGCCCAGCCAGCAAUAAUUUGGCUAUUCAAAGAGAAGAAAACACAAACCUACCUGAAAAAGGAGCUCCCAGGCACACACACUGACACCGGAGAGUCACAACGCAUCUGCACUCACAGCAAAUGGGAGGAGAGGUAAAAUGACACAUCAAGGAAAAUGCUAGCUCAGCUCACAUGACCUACUUUCUGCCUCCUUGCUUGCGGGACACAGUCCAGCCAGAAGAGACUGUCUGCUGCUAUGAGUGCUCCGGUUUCCAGGAGGGAUGAGGAGAGCCUGUCCAGCAGGACCUGGGCUGCUUUGCAUGGGCAGGAGUGGAAGGAAGCACAAAGGACCCACUGUUAUCAGCAGUUUAAGUCCAGCUUCAUAGACCAGGUCUGCAAAAUGUUGACAUGAAGCUGAGGAGGAGGGUGUGAAUCACUUAAAGCUGCUGUUGUCACUGAACUCUCUGCAGUGUGAAAGCAGAGCCUGAGGUGCUGGGC